UUUCUUCUGUUUUCUGUUUUCACCGACGGCAAAGUUCAAAGGGUUUUUGGUUUGGGCUCGCGGCCGGCGCCCGCCCGCCGGAGCGGGGGGGCUGCCCGGCCGAAGCGGAGGCCAGAUGAUUUCGCACGGGAUGGAGUGAGGGGCGGGGCCCGCUCGCUCUGUGAAUGAUCCUUCCGCAGGUUCACCUACGGAAA
RNAcentral lists this unclassified non-coding RNA (194 nucleotides) under uncultured fungus. RNAcentral describes it as "sequence contains ITS1". The record is from RNAcentral. Lineage: Eukaryota; Fungi.